UACGAAGGGUGCAACCGUUGCUCGGAAUCAUUGGGCGUAAAGCGCACGUAGGCGGCUCCACAAGUCGGAUGUGAAAUCCCUGGGCUCAACCGAGGAAGUGCAUCCGAAACUGCGGAGCUUGAGUAUGGAAGAGGGUCGCGGAAUUCCCGGUGUAGAGGUGAAAUUCGUAGAUAUCGGGAGGAACACCAGUGGCGAAGGCGGCGACCUGGGCCAAUACUGACGCUGAGGUGCGAAAGCGUGGGGAGCAAACAGG
Molecule: ribosomal RNA, 253 nt
Filed under: uncultured bacterium
Lineage: Bacteria
Description: partial 16S ribosomal RNA
Rfam family: Bacterial small subunit ribosomal RNA
Source: RNAcentral